This is a long non-coding RNA of Xiphophorus hellerii (green swordtail), 236 nucleotides long. RefSeq lists it as uncharacterized. The record is from RefSeq and is a predicted model, not a curated record. The transcript is spliced from 4 exons. Lineage: Eukaryota; Metazoa; Chordata; Actinopteri; Cyprinodontiformes; Poeciliidae.
ACGAAGAGUCUGGACCCAAACAAGCCAAAUGCUUCAAAAAUGAUUAGCUGCAAAAUCCAGGAUCAAAUGAGUUGAUUUAACCAAACACACUGCAAAAACACAAAACUUUACCAACUACUCUUUAUGUAGCUUCUAGUGCAAAAUAUCUGAGCACACCUGAAAUAAGACAGGACUAACUUACAAGUAACUUUUCAGCAAAGAUAUAGCAGCUGGAUUCAAGUAAAUAAUUAGUUAAU